RNAcentral lists this long non-coding RNA (359 nucleotides) under Sarcophilus harrisii (Tasmanian devil). RNAcentral describes it as "lncRNA (ENSSHAG00000023812.1)". The record is from RNAcentral. Lineage: Eukaryota; Metazoa; Chordata; Mammalia; Dasyuromorphia; Dasyuridae.
CAGGAGUCUGCUUUCAAGUUAGCAGAAUCAGGUAGCUUACUAUCCAAACAGAAGUGAUCCAGGCUAAAAUUUGCUGGACAAAAUUGAAAAAGGAAGCCUAAUUUAAAAAACGAGUAAGAACAGUAUAUAUACAAGAUCAAAAACAGUCUGAAGAACUAUCCAACAAAAGUUAUAUCAUGGCAUAGUCAAAUGGAAAGACAGAAAAUCAGAAAAAUUUGGAAAUCAAGAGAUUUGGAUUUAAGACACUUUUUACCACAAUGACUUUGGGUAUCCAAGAUUACUUGUUCUGGAUGAAAGAAUUAAAGGUCAGCCAUAGCUGAACAGCUGAGAAAUAUUCAAGAAGAUUAUUCUCAGUGGAG